GUCUUUUUGAAUUUUUUUUAAAGUCUAACCUGCCCACUGAAUUAUUUAAAUGGCCGCAGUAUACUAACUGUGCAAAGGUAGCAUAAUCAUUAGUCUUUUAAUUGAAGGCUGGUAUGAAUGGUUGGACGAGAUAUUAACUGUUUCAUUAAAAUUUAUAUUAAAAUUUUAUUUUUUAGUCAAAAAGCUAAAAUAAAUUUAAAAGACGAGAAGACCCUAUAAAUCUUUAUAUUUAAAUUAUUAUAAUUUUAUAGAUUAAUUUUGUUAUAUUAAUUUAUAAUAUUUUAUUGGGGUGAUAUUAAAAUUUAAUAAACUUUUAAUUAUUAAAAUCAUUAAUUUAUGAAUAAUUGAUCCAUUAAUAGUGAUUAAAAAAAUAAGUUACUUUAGGGAUAACAGCGUAAUUUUUUUGGAGAGUUCAUAUCGAUAAAAAAGAUUGCGACCUCGAUGUUGGAUUAAGAUAUAAUUUUAGGUGUAGCCGCUUAAAUUUUAAGUCUGUUCGACUUUUAAAUUCUUACGUG
RNAcentral lists this ribosomal RNA (515 nucleotides) under Lispe quaerens. RNAcentral describes it as "partial 16S ribosomal RNA". The stretch from base 386 to 515 matches the Rfam family "Bacterial large subunit ribosomal RNA", at positions 2473 to 2602 of the family's 2925-position model. The record is from RNAcentral. Lineage: Eukaryota; Metazoa; Arthropoda; Insecta; Diptera; Muscidae.